This 360-nucleotide ribosomal RNA is filed under the name Chloropicon mariensis. Its description in RNAcentral is "partial Eukaryotic small subunit ribosomal RNA". It matches the Rfam family "Eukaryotic small subunit ribosomal RNA", at positions 1302 to 1674 of the family's 1831-position model. Lineage: Eukaryota; Viridiplantae; Chlorophyta; Chloropicophyceae; Chloropicales; Chloropicaceae. The record is from RNAcentral.
UGGAGCGAUUUGUCUGCUUAAUUGCGAUAACGAACGAGACUCUAGCCUGCUAACUAGUCGUUUCCGGCUUCCUUUGUUGCAGCCGGCGAAGACAAAUCUUCUUAGAGGGACAGGCGGCUUCUAGCCGCACGAGAUUGAGCAAUAACAGGUCUGUGAUGCCCUUAGAUGUCCGGGGCCGCACGCGCGCUACACUGAAGGAAUCAGCAUGUUCUCCCUGGCCUAGAGGCCCGGGCAACCCGCUGAAACUCCUUCGUGCUGGGGAUUGGGGUUUGCAAUUAUCCCCCAUAAACGAGGAAUUCCUAGUAAGCGCGAGUCAUAAGCUCGCGUUGAUUACGUCCCUGCCCUUUGUACACACCGCCC